Molecule: ribosomal RNA, 726 nt
Filed under: Picrasma quassioides
Lineage: Eukaryota; Viridiplantae; Streptophyta; Magnoliopsida; Sapindales; Simaroubaceae
Description: eukaryotic LSU rRNA
Rfam family: 5.8S ribosomal RNA (bases 288-443)
Source: RNAcentral
UCCCUAGGUGAACCUGCGGAAGGAUCAUUGUCGAAACCUGCUCAGCAGAACGACCCGCGAACCAGUGAUGCAUGCCGGUGGGGGAGAGGCGCCGGGCGCGCGAGCGUCGGGCGUCUCGCCCUCCCCUCGUCGCGGGAUGGGGUCCCGUCCGCGAGUCCCGUUCCCGCGACGUAACAACGAACCCGGGCGCGGACUGCGCCAAGGAAAUACAACGAGAGAGCGUUCUCCCGCCGCCCCGUACACGGUGCGCGCGCGGGAGGGCCGCCUUCUUUCACUUAAUCCACAACGACUCUCGGCAACGGAUAUCUCGGCUCUCGCAUCGAUGAAGAACGUAGCGAAAUGCGAUACUUGGUGUGAAUUGCAGAAUCCCGUGAACCAUCGAGUCUUUGAACGCAAGUUGCGCCCCAAGCCGUUAGGCCGAGGGCACGUCUGCCUGGGUGUCACGCAUCGUCGCCCCCCUCGCGCCCGCCUCCCUGAGGCGGAGCGGUCGGGGCGGAAAAUGGCCUCCCGUGUGCUCCCCGCAAGCGGUUGGCCGAAAUUCGAGUCCUCGGCGACAGUUGCCGCGACGAUCGGUGGUGAAACCAAAGCCUCGAGUUACCGUCGCGCGCCGCUGUCCCCGGGCAAAGGGCUCCUGGACCCUGAUGCGCCGAACGAACGGCGCUCGCUUUGCGACCCCAGGUCAGGCGGGACUACCCGCUGAGUUUAAGCAUAUCAAUAAGCGGAGGA